UUACGGGAGGCAGCAGUGGGGAAUAUUGCGCAAUGGGGGAAACCCUGACGCAGCGACGCCGCGUGAGCGAAGAAGGCCUUAGGGUUGUAAAGCUCUGUUUUAAGGGACGAAUGUUACGGGGAGUAAUAUGCCCUGUAAAUGACGGUACCUUAAGAGGAAGCCCCGGCUAACUACGUGCCAGCAGCCGCGGUAAGACGUAGGGGGCGAGCGUUGUCCGGAAUUACUGGGCGUAAAGAGCACGUAGGCGGGAACUUAAGUCAGGUGUGAAAGACCGGGGCUCAACUCCGGGGUGGCACUUGAAACUGGGUUUCUUGAGGGCAGGAGAGGAAAGCAGAAUUCCUGGUGUAGCGGUGAAAUGCGUAGAAAUCAGGAGGAAUACCAGUGGCGAAGGCGGCUUUCUGGACUGACCCUGACGCUGAGGUGCGAAAGCGUGGGUAGCAAACAGGAUUAGAUACCCCGGUAGU
This 464-nucleotide ribosomal RNA is filed under the name uncultured bacterium. RNAcentral describes it as "bacterial SSU rRNA". It matches the Rfam family "Bacterial small subunit ribosomal RNA", at positions 339 to 794 of the family's 1533-position model. The record is from RNAcentral.